This is a long non-coding RNA of Papilio xuthus (Asian swallowtail), 1696 nucleotides long. RefSeq lists it as uncharacterized. The transcript has 3 exons. The record is from RefSeq and is a predicted model, not a curated record. Lineage: Eukaryota; Metazoa; Arthropoda; Insecta; Lepidoptera; Papilionidae.
GGGUGGUGGUGCCAAGAAAAAUGCCUUUCAUCUCCUCAAAUAUUUCUCCAUUGAAGCAUCAGUACUGCACGGCACACCAGAUAAGAACGCGAUAUAUACAAAUCAAGAAAAAGUCUCCCAACCUUCGCUUUGCCACCGUACCGUAAAUACGUUUUCAUUCAUCUCUAAAGAAGAAGAUAAGAAGAUAUCAAAGAUUCUUGGAUAUUCGAAUCUUUUCAACUAUUUAAGCAACGACGGUCAUAUAUCUUCGUGGACUGCGAACCAAAGCUAACCGUUAAAACCAAAACCUUACAAAUUUCACGUCUGUUUUUCAACGGGACACAAUUAGUUACAAACAUGGGCACCACCAGUUGAGUACGCGAUCUAUUAAAAUCAUAUAUAAUGAUGCUGGGAGGUUGCGAAGUAGUCUUCGCACGUUUCGACUAAACAGCAUUUGAUUCUUCAAUCAAACCACUUUCCUGCCCUCCAUGGAGCCCACAAUAUAGGGAGGGAGGGGCAGGGCUCGCUCUCAGUGCGAUAUCAGACGCUGGAUCGGGUUGGCAGCCGGGUUAAAAAGAACCAGCUCAACGCCUUGCUCAACCCUGACUUGGCUCGUCAGCGUGACCUUUACCUAGGGUGUCUCGCGACACCUUACGGACUCGACCUCUACGACUGCGGCCCCGCAAAAUGAAUACAUCUUAGUUUUAAUUCUAAUCUUCUUUCCUUUUCACCAAUUUUUUUUAAGGAGAGGAAGGUGGGUUUGACGGUGGAGAGGAUGUAUAAAAAAUUUCUCUUUUUUCUGCAUUAUCUUCUCUGUCCAUCAAAGGUUGGCAACUCGUCUGCAAUUUUGUAUGUUGCAGACGUUUGAGCAGCGGUCAUCGCUACUUUCGCGACAUAAUUUGGCUGCUUGCUAGUUUACCACCUUUUUAGUGCGUACUAUAUGGAAUUUAUGUAAAAAUAUUUACAAGAAAAUACUGUAUUGAGGUAAUUUCUAGAAUCAAAUGUAGGUAAACUGAUUUUAUACAGUUUUCCAAAUAUUUUAAUCAAUCCAAUUGCUAAUGUUUUAGUUUCAAAAAUAUCUAACUAAUGUUAUAGUUCUACAAAGUCUUCACAACCGGUGGAAAAAAGUGAUACAAAGUAGCCGUCAGUUGUAAUUGGCUUAUGUUGUGUCAUUUUCUAUACCGCGAUGGCAGCGUGAUAAGUUUGUGGGACUAGUUUUAUGUUAGUUUCUUAUAAUGUGCAUUCAAAUCUAAAUUGAGCCGUUCUGUGGCUUUGUGAUCUAAAUCACAUCAUCUUACUAAAACAAGAAUAUUCAUGUUAGUUCUAAUUCUAAUCUUCUUUCCUUUCCACCAUUUUUAUUAGGAGGGGAAGGUGGGUUCGACGGUGGAGAGGAUGUAUAAAAAAUUUCUCUUUUUUCUGCAUUAUCUUCUCUGUCCAUCAAAGGUUGGCAAUUCGUCUGCAAUUUUGUAUGUUGCAGACGUUUGAGCAGUGGUCAUCGCUACUUUCGCGAUAUAAUUUGGCUGCUUGCUAGUUUACCACCUUUUAAUAUAAAAAUAUGUUGCAAUUAAAUUAUAAUUUGUUCUAACAGUACUUUACAGUACAUUAUGUUUACAAUCAAAAAUAUUUGUCAUUGUUGUUUAAUUUUCAAUGUAAACUUUGAUGCUAUGUUUGUAAAUUUGCUCCAUGUUUGGCAGAAAACAAAAAAAAUAUUAAAAUU